UCGUACGCGAAAGGGGCUUCGGCCCUGAGUAGAGUGGCAAACGGGUGAGUAACACGUGGGUGACCUGCCUUCGAGUGGGGGAUAACGUCCCGAAAGGGACGCUAAUACCGCAUGACAUCCUGCUCUUGGACGAGCGGACAUCAAAGCCGGGGAUCGCAAGACCUGGCGCUUGAAGAGGGGCCCGCGCCUGAUUAGCUAGUUGGUGGGGUAAUGGCCUACCAAGGCAACGAUCAGUAUCCGGCCUGAGAGGGCGGACGGACACACUGGGACUGAGACACGGCCCAGACUCCUACGGGAGGCAGCAGUGGGGAAUUGUUCGCAAUGGGCGCAAGCCUGACGACGCAACGCCGCGUGGAGGAUGAAGAUCUUCGGGUCGUAAACUCCUGUCGAGCGGGACGAACACCUGCCGGGCUAAUAUCCGGGCAGGCUGACGGUACCGCUAAAGGAAGCCCCGGCUAACUCCGUGCCAGCAGCCGCGGUAAUACGGGGGGGGCAAGCGUUG
This 502-nucleotide ribosomal RNA is filed under the name uncultured bacterium. Its description in RNAcentral is "bacterial SSU rRNA". It matches the Rfam family "Bacterial small subunit ribosomal RNA", at positions 62 to 543 of the family's 1533-position model. The record is from RNAcentral.